GACCACAGCAAUGCUGGUAAAUCUAUGGAGCUGGUAGAUGCACCUCAGUGUGCUGGGGGAAGUCUGAGUUGUCAUACUUCUGUGAGUAGGGGGCUGGUCUGCCUGGCAGGCAGUGAUACUCUGAAGAGAAAACCAAAGAGCUGAUUACUAGCUGUCCUAAAAUCCAGUUAAAUUCCUCUUGUAGAUCAAAGGAUCCUUUAAAGAGGGAGGAGCUGAUUCCUCUAGAAAUAACUCCUGCUCAGCACAGGGCUUUCAUGUUCUUCAAUAUAUGAGGCAAAGAACUAGAUGAAUGUAUGUUUGAAGUUGGCAGUGCCCAGUGCAGCAAAGCUUGGUCUGGUCGUCCUUCUCUAGCAAGAUCUUCUCUCACAUGACAGUAGAUGCUCCCCUCACGCUGUCUCGCUGCUUCUCCUCCUCCAGUCUCUCCGACAUAUGCCAGAGCUGAACAGCUGACACUCAUCCUUGUACUUGACUGUGGGUUAAUUUUUGAGAGUUCAUGGAUGUUCUCUUGACUUAAAGCAGUAGAUGUUCCAUGAGCAGAUGAGACUGUGCAGCAUUUUUCUCCUCACAUUCAUUUAUAGUGAUAAUUAACAUGUUAGCACCUUUUGUGGAGCUGAUGCUUGUUUCAGAUAAAAUUUGUGAGUAGGUUGCAUUAUCUUGAUUGACCUCUCAGCACAGAUUGCAAAUUGAAUGGUCAGGUGCCUCUGCACAAAUACAGGAAGGGAAUGAUAAUGCAGUGCAAACUCACCCUGCUCUAUCAUACAGCGUAGAAUCAUUUGAGUUGGAAAGAACCUUUAAAGGCUAUCUAGUCCAACUCCUCUUGCCAUGAGCAGGGACAGCUGUGGCUAGAUCAGGAUGCUCAGAGCCUGGUCCAGCCUGCAUCGUCUCCACCAGAUCUGUGUUCCUUGAUGAGAUUGGUGCCCAGAGAUUGCAUGUCUGUACUCAAUUCCAUUGAUACCACUCAUACUAAGAAACCAUGUUCUCACUUACUGGCAUGGAAGUCCCACAGCUUUGGCAAGCUGAUUAAAGGUUCUCUGUUGCUGAAGCACAAGAAAAAAGCAAAAACCCAGAAUCAGUAUGACCUUCUU
Long non-coding RNA from Tympanuchus pallidicinctus (lesser prairie-chicken), 1085 nucleotides. RefSeq lists it as uncharacterized. Lineage: Eukaryota; Metazoa; Chordata; Aves; Galliformes; Phasianidae. The record is from RefSeq and is a predicted model, not a curated record. The transcript is spliced from 2 exons.